UAGGCAUUUAUUAAAGCUGAACAUUUUCAGUAUCUACAAAAUCCAUAAAAACACCAUUACUACUUGGUUGUCAGAAUUUUUUCCGGAACUAUGACAAGUGAUGGCUAACAUUACAUUCAUUAAACUUUGUAUUUUCCUCCCCAGGUCAAAAUUGACCAGGUCUGGUUUGACUGGUUGCAAAGCAUAGAGUACAAAUUAUCAGCCAAUUCAACUUCAUUUAACCUUACUGCUAGUUUUUUUCCUUCCUCCUUCCUCCCUUCACCCAAAGACAGUUUGGUUUAAGUCACUGCAUCAAAUGCAUAGCAGCUAAGAAAACUAAGUAAAAGCUAACUAAAUUACACACAUUCCAUUAACAAUAACAAUUAAACAUAUCAAACUGGCUCUCAACAAUGGUGGGUCCAAAAAUGAACCUGGACAUCUGAGACAGAUGGACUGAACUAUACUGGCUAAAUAAAGCCCCACUCAAAGUCCAUCACAUUUUUUAGUAGAGUGGCCACAUGGGGAUUCACUGCUGUUGCCUUUUUGUGGACCAGCUUCCCCGUCUUCUUUGACACCACCUUCCCCUGGCUGGUUUUUCUUCCCCUUUCAGGAUUAAUCCCAAUGAGGCACCUAAAAUGUAAUAAUAGAGAAAGUAUAUAAGAUAUAAGGUAUGGUAAGUAAAGACCAUUUGCAUUUAAUAUGGAACCCUAUAACAGUAAUUGAAUAAAAAAUUAACACCUAUGAGUUUGCAUGUGCCUGACAUGUGCAAUGUACUCCUGCAGGUUUUACCACAUAUCAAAAUAAUCUUUAAAGUACUUUCUCAAGAAAAGAAAAAUCAUUACAUCAAAAACUAGUCAACUAACUUUUAGCUACUGUAUAUUACAUUAGUGCAUAUUUGAAGCUCCUUUUUAGCUUUUUGCAUCAACCUGCAUAACAAGCUUCUCCCUAUAAACUCCCAUAAACUGUGUUAUUUGAAAAAGUAAAACAAUAAAUGGUCGAUCUGACAACAAAUGCCCAAGCCAACCUAUGCUAAUUUAAGUAAUUUGCUUCAACAGAAAGCUAAACUUUAAAUGAGAGUAACGUAUGCUAGCGUGCGGCACGUACUUUUGACUCAAUCUUUUCGGCAAAAAACAGUCAAUAAAAUGUUAAUCCAAUGACAUUAGUACGGUGGCCCUGAGGUGCAAAUCACAACAGCAAAUCAGAAAACACAACACAAAAAGAGAAAACACAACGGCAAAUCAGAAAACACAACACAAAAAGAGAAAACACAACACAAAAAGAAAAAACACAACACAAAAAGAGAAAACACAACGGCAAAUCAGAAAACACAACACAAAAAGAGAAAACACAACGGCAAAUCAGAAAACACAACACAAAAAGAGAAAACACAACACAAAAAGAGAAAACACAACGGCAAAUCAGAAAACACGACACAAAAAGAGAAAACACAACACAAAAAGAGAAAACACAACGGCAAAUCAGAAAACACAACACAAAAAGAGAAAACACAAC
Long non-coding RNA from Dicentrarchus labrax (European seabass), 1491 nucleotides. RefSeq lists it as uncharacterized. Lineage: Eukaryota; Metazoa; Chordata; Actinopteri; Moronidae. The transcript is spliced from 2 exons. The record is from RefSeq and is a predicted model, not a curated record.